GGGCCCGCACAAGCGGUGGAGUAUGUGGUUUAAUUCGAUGCAACGCGAAGAACCUUACCAGGGCUUGACAUCCUGCGAAUCUCUGGGAAACCGGAGAGUGCCUUCGGGAACGCAGUGACAGGUGGUGCAUGGCUGUCGUCAGCUCGUGUCGUGAGAUGUUGGGUUAAGUCCCGCAACGAGCGCAACCCACGUCUUUAGUUGCCAGCAUUUAGUUGGGCACUCUAGAGAGACCGCCGGUGAUAAACCGGAGGAAGGCGGGGAUGACGUCAAGUCCUCAUGGCCCUUACACGCGGGGCUACACACGUGCUACAAUGGCAGUGACAAUGGGAUAAUCCCAAAAAGUUGUCUCAGUUCAGAUUGUCCUCUGCAACUCGAGGGCAUGAAGUUGGAAUCGCUAGUAAUCG
This 404-nucleotide ribosomal RNA is filed under the name uncultured bacterium. Its description in RNAcentral is "bacterial SSU rRNA". It matches the Rfam family "Bacterial small subunit ribosomal RNA", at positions 917 to 1344 of the family's 1533-position model. The record is from RNAcentral.